CAAAAGGCUGUGAAGGGAAAAGUACGGUUGCCCGGCAAGCACAGAGAGGGGAUGGCGGUGGAAAUCCCCGUGAAAGGCAAUUCGGAAGGUCCUCCCGGAGCUGCGGAGCUGAAAGCCGGCAAGGCGCAUAGGCUCCGCCGGGUUCCCGCCGUUACGGGGGAGCGCCAUCAUUUUGGUGGCUGCAGAGAGCAUGCGGAUUUUCCGCAUGAAAUUAGGUGGUACCGCGGAGUUUGGCUUCGUCCUAUGG
Molecule: non-coding RNA, 247 nt
Filed under: Papillibacter cinnamivorans
Lineage: Bacteria; Bacillati; Bacillota; Clostridia; Eubacteriales; Oscillospiraceae
Description: T-box sequence
Rfam family: T-box leader
About the family: Uncharged tRNA acts as the effector for transcription antitermination of genes in the T-box leader family. T-boxes are found upstream of many aminoacyl-tRNA synthetase genes and some amino acid biosynthetic genes usually in Gram-positive bacteria.
Source: RNAcentral